RNAcentral lists this ribosomal RNA (543 nucleotides) under uncultured bacterium. RNAcentral describes it as "bacterial SSU rRNA". It matches the Rfam family "Bacterial small subunit ribosomal RNA", at positions 774 to 1314 of the family's 1533-position model. The record is from RNAcentral.
AGUGAAUAGAUACCCUGGUAGUCCACGCCCUAAACUAUGUCAACUAGGUGUUGGGUGGGUAAAACCAUUUAGUACCGUAGCUAAACGCGUGAAAGUUGACCGCCUGGGGAGUACGGCCGCAAGGUUAAAACUCAAAGGAAUUGACGGGACCCGCACAAGCGGUGGAUGAUGUGGAUUAAUUCGAUGCAACGCGAAAAACCUUACCUACCCUUGACAUGCCAGGAACUUGCCAGAGAUGGCUUGGUGCCCGAAAGGGAGCCUGGACACAGGUGCUGCAUGGCUGUCGUCAGCUCGUGUCGUGAGAUGUUGGGUUAAGUCCCGCAACGAGCGCAACCCUUGUCGUUAAUUGCCAUCAUUUGGUUGGGCACUUUAACGAGACUGCCGGUGACAAACCAGAGGAAGGUGGGGAUGACGUCAAGUCCUCAUGGCCCUUAUGGGUAGGGCUUCACACGUCAUACAAUGGUCGGUACAGAGGGUUGCCAAGCCGCGAGGCGAGCCAAUCCCAGAAAGCCGAUCGUAGUCCGGAUUGCAGGCUGCAACUCG